CGCGAAUAAUUGAGUGGUGCUGGUGUGGGCGAUGACUGUUGCCGAUGCGCGUUCGUCUCGGACGUAGCGUAGCGAAGCAAGUGAUGAACAUGGUUCAUUUUUCAAACGUCAUUAUUAAAUGAAAACGAAAAA
RNAcentral lists this long non-coding RNA (132 nucleotides) under Polistes fuscatus (common paper wasp). RNAcentral's name for it is "uncharacterized LOC122514154". The record is from RNAcentral. Lineage: Eukaryota; Metazoa; Arthropoda; Insecta; Hymenoptera; Vespidae.